Molecule: ribosomal RNA, 253 nt
Filed under: uncultured bacterium
Lineage: Bacteria
Description: partial 16S ribosomal RNA
Rfam family: Bacterial small subunit ribosomal RNA
Source: RNAcentral
UACGAAGGGGGCUAGCGUUGCUCGGAAUCACUGGGCGUAAAGCGCACGUAGGCGGAUUGCUAAGUCAGGGGUGAAAUCCUGGAGCUCAACUCCAGAACUGCCUUUGAUACUGGCGAUCUCGAGUCCGGGAGAGGUGAGUGGAACUGCGAGUGUAGAGGUGAAAUUCGUAGAUAUUCGCAAGAACACCAGUGGCGAAGGCGGCUCUCUAGUACGGUACUGACGCUGAGACGCGAAAGCGUGGGGAGCGAACAGG